Molecule: long non-coding RNA, 467 nt
Organism: Carassius auratus (goldfish)
Lineage: Eukaryota; Metazoa; Chordata; Actinopteri; Cypriniformes; Cyprinidae
Exons: 3
Source: RefSeq, a predicted model, not a curated record
AUUCUGCCGAGUUCGACGCGUCCCUGGGUCAACAAGGGAGGUGCUUAAGGUAAAUUUGAGCAACCAAUCAGAUUACUCACGUCACGUGACAUGUGCCCAGCCUCAGCUUGCGCGCCACUAUUUGAAUUGUGUGCUUUGACGUCGCCUUCAUUUUACAAAGGUUUGAAGAUUUCUCAGUUCUUUGCUUAUAUUUCAAGGAUCACUGGCUGGUAAUAGGACACGCGUGGUCGGACAGUGCUACAACCAUGCCAACUCCGAUACAAACAAUCUUGUUGAAAGGAACCUUAGACUGGAUCUUAUCAGCAUUCUCAUCAAGAAGACAGAUGGAUACUUCCAGGUCAUUCAUGAUUUACAGGCAGACAGUUUGAAGAAUGAAAAAUGCUUCUUUGAAGACUGUUUCUGUAGCUGCCCAAUAGGAGUCAGAGGACAUCGCUGUAAACACCUUGUACUUGUACUUACUGAUCAAG